This 876-nucleotide ribosomal RNA is filed under the name uncultured crenarchaeote. Its description in RNAcentral is "bacterial SSU rRNA". It matches the Rfam family "Archaeal small subunit ribosomal RNA", at positions 21 to 903 of the family's 1478-position model. The record is from RNAcentral. Lineage: Archaea; Thermoproteati; Thermoproteota.
ACCUGACUGCUAUCGGAUUGAUACUAAGCCAUGCGAGUCUUUGCAGUAAUGCAAGGCAUACGGCUCAGUAACACGUAGUCAACUUACCCUAUGGACGAGGAUAAUCUCGGGAAACUGAGCAUAAUACUCGGUAGAUCAUAAUGCCUGGAAUGGUUUAUGGUUAAAAUGAUUCGUCGCCAUAGGAUGGGACUGCGGCCUAUCAGCUUGUUGGUGAGGUAAUGGCCCACCAAGGCGAUAACAGGUACGGGCUCUGAGAGGAGAAGCCCGGAGAUGGGUACUGAGACAAGGACCCAGGCCCUAUGGGGCGCAGCAGGCGAGAAAACUUUGCAAUGUGCGAAAGCACGACAAGGUUAGUCCGAGUGAUUUCUGCUAAAGAGAUCUUUUGCUAGUUAUAAAACCACUAGUGAAUAAGGGGUGGGCAAGUUCUGGUGUCAGCCGCCGCGGUAAAACCAGCACCUCAAGUGGUCAGGAUGAUUAUUGGGCCUAAAGCAUCCGUAGCCGGCUCUGUAAGUUUUCGGUUAAAUCUAUGCGCUCAACGUAUGGGCUGCCGAAAAUACUGCAGAGAUAGGGAGUGGGAGAGGUAGACGGUACUCGGUAGGAAGGGGUAAAAUCCUUUGAUCUAUCGAUGACCACCUGUGGCGAAGGCGGUCUACCAGAACACGUUCGACGGUGAGGGAUGAAAGCUGGGGGAGCAAACCGGAUUAGAUACCCGGGUAGUCCCAGCCGUAAACGAUGCAGACUCGAUGAUGCAUUGGCAUAUAGCCAGUGCAGUGUCGCAGGGAAGCCGUUAAGUCUGCCGCCUGGGAAGUACGUACGCAAGUAUGAAACUUAAAGGAAUUGGCGGGGGAGCACCACAAGGGGUGAAGCCUGCGGUUC